RNAcentral lists this transfer RNA (72 nucleotides) under Spirochaetales bacterium. Its description in RNAcentral is "tRNA-Cys". It matches the Rfam family "tRNA". Rfam says of the family: Transfer RNA (tRNA) molecules are approximately 80 nucleotides in length. Their secondary structure includes four short double-helical elements and three loops (D, anti-codon, and T loops). Further hydrogen bonds mediate the characteristic L-shaped molecular structure. tRNAs have two regions of fundamental functional importance: the anti-codon, which is responsible for specific mRNA codon recognition, and the 3' end, to which the tRNAs corresponding amino acid is attached (by aminoacyl-tRNA synthetases). tRNAs cope with the degeneracy of the genetic code in two manners: having more than one tRNA (with a specific anti-codon) for a particular amino acid; and 'wobble' base-pairing, i.e. permitting non-standard base-pairing at the 3rd anti-codon position. Lineage: Bacteria; Pseudomonadati; Spirochaetota; Spirochaetia; Spirochaetales. The record is from RNAcentral.
GGCGCCGUACCCAAGUGGUAAGGGAGAGGUCUGCAAAACCUUCAUUCAGCGGUUCGACUCCGCUCGGUGCCU